UUUCNGUAGGUGAACCUGCGGAAGGAUCAUUAAUGAAUUUGGGUGCUCUUAAUUGAGACCUAACCUUCAUCCUUCUACCCUGUGAACUAUUAUCAAUUGAUCGGACCCUUCUGGGUUAGAUUGAUUAUCAUUUUUAAACUCUACAAGUAUAAGAAUGUCAUAAAUUUUAUAAUCAAAUAAAACUUUCAACAACGGAUCUCUUGGCUCUCGCAUCGAUGANGAACGCNG
This 228-nucleotide unclassified non-coding RNA is filed under the name uncultured fungus. RNAcentral describes it as "sequence contains ITS1, 5.8S rRNA gene". The stretch from base 181 to 228 matches the Rfam family "5.8S ribosomal RNA", at positions 1 to 48 of the family's 154-position model. Lineage: Eukaryota; Fungi. The record is from RNAcentral.